This 525-nucleotide ribosomal RNA is filed under the name uncultured bacterium. Its description in RNAcentral is "partial 16S ribosomal RNA". It matches the Rfam family "Bacterial small subunit ribosomal RNA", at positions 355 to 881 of the family's 1533-position model. The record is from RNAcentral.
UGGGGAAUAUUGCACAAUGGGCGAAAGCCUGAUGCAGCAACGCCGCGUGAGGGACGACGGCCUUCGGGUUGUAAACCUCUUUAGCAAGGAAGAAGCGAAAGUGACGGUACUUGCAGAAAAAGCGCCGGCUAACUACGUGCCAGCAGCCGCGGUAAUACGUAGGGCGCAAGCGUUAUCCGGAAUUAUUGGGCGUAAAGAGCUCGUAGGCGGUUUGUCGCGUCUGCUGUGAAAAACCCGAGGCUCAACCUCGGGCCUGCAGUGGGUACGGGCAGACUAGAGUGCGGUAGGGGGAGAUUGGAACUCCUGGUGUAGCGGUGGAAUGCGCAGAUAUCAGGAAGAACACCGAUGGCGACGGCAGAUCUCUGGGGCCGUAACUGACGCUGAGGAGCGAAAAGGGGUGGGGAGCAAAACAGGCUUAGAUACCCUGGUAGUCACCCCCGUAAAACGUUGGGAACUAGUUGUGGGGGUCCAUUCCAACGGAUUCCGUGACGCAGCUAACGCAUUAAGUUCCCCGCCUGGGGGAGU